CACGUCCGUGGUAGAAGUGGGGUUCUGUGGUGGGAGUGAACCGAUAUCUCGUUCUACUGAAAAACACAAGUCAUGAGUCGAAAAGAACGAAAAAAACGAUAAAAGCAACGUUCAUAGGUAUCCUGCGUGCUUUCAAAGUGCAAGAUUUUUCACGAGACAGGAAGAAGAUUUAAAAUAUGCUGAAGUGGAACCAAAUACUUCCAAGGCACAUAAAAAGGAAACUGGUGAUACGCAACAGAAC
This is a long non-coding RNA of Pomacea canaliculata, 241 nucleotides long. RefSeq lists it as uncharacterized. Lineage: Eukaryota; Metazoa; Mollusca; Gastropoda; Architaenioglossa; Ampullariidae. The record is from RefSeq and is a predicted model, not a curated record. The transcript is spliced from 2 exons.